AAAGCAGGGCUCUAUCCGCUAACGCUGGAACGAAACGCUGAAGACCAGCAUGGCUCCUGCAUGAGGAUGACACACAGAAGUCAGAAAACAAUAGGAAAUUUAU
Suricata suricatta (meerkat) is the source of this 103-nucleotide small nuclear RNA. NCBI's taxonomy places the organism in Eukaryota, Metazoa, Chordata, Mammalia, Carnivora, Herpestidae. The record is from Ensembl.